AAUCUUUACAGUCAUUGCCAUCUGAAAUUAACAAAAUGUAUUUAAAAAACAAAAGCCAAUCUAACCAAAUACUUAUUAACAAAAAGGAAGAGAAAUUAAAGAAGGAAUAAUACAGCAGGAUUUAUUAAAGCAUUUUGGCAGCGGCAAGGAUGAGUAAAAGUACACAAAAAGAUUUCUUUUAAGGAUCUUAUUGUAUUUUAUACCUUGAAAAAUGGGUCCUUCUUAUAGCUAGAAUAAGAAGGACGAUCCAUGCUAUUUAAAGCAACUCUAAUAUCGGUGUGUAUAUCUUCGAUUAAUUUAUCUAAACCGGCAUAAUUUAGCUCAGGCCUAAUGUAUCCCAAAACAAUAACACGCAUUAUUUCUUCGUAAAAAUCUUCACCUUGUCUUUCUAUGAGAUGCACUUCUGCACUUCGUAGCUUGUUUUUAUAGUACGGAUUCCAUCCAACACUCAUCACCAUGGGGAAUACUCGUUUUUGUACCAUAGCAUAUCCAAAAUAAACACCAGAAUCUCUAUAUCUAAGAAGCUCUUGAAUUGCAUCUUCUGAUAUAUUUGCAGUUGGAAUUCCAAGCUCUUUUGAGCCUCUACCAAAGCCAUGAACAACUUUCCCUUCGAAGCGAAUAGGAUAAGGGCUUUGCACCUUUUCAGGACCAACAAUUUCAGGCCUCUUUUCUUCUAAAUUAACUGUCAUAGAGUAAAUCAAAGGUUGCUAGCGCAAUUGGAAAAAUACUAGUGGAAGUAGGUAGUUAGUAAGCGUAGCUCAGCCUAAUGAAGAGAGUCAUGUUGGACAAAUAUUUCCAUUACGCUUAUUUUAAAUUAGUUUAGUUGAUAUCUAUGAAUAACAAAAAAAUAAUAAAACAAUUGGUUCAUCAACCAUUGACCAUCAAUGGUUAAAUCUCAAGGUUGGUAAUAACCACAAAUGCUCAACGGUUGUUUAACUCUAUUAUGAAUUCGUAAGUUU
Non-coding RNA from Schizosaccharomyces pombe (fission yeast), 959 nucleotides. The record is from the annotation of a GenBank genome assembly. NCBI's taxonomy places the organism in Eukaryota, Fungi, Ascomycota, Schizosaccharomycetes, Schizosaccharomycetales, Schizosaccharomycetaceae.